RNAcentral lists this ribosomal RNA (514 nucleotides) under uncultured bacterium. RNAcentral's name for it is "partial 16S ribosomal RNA". It matches the Rfam family "Bacterial small subunit ribosomal RNA", at positions 28 to 523 of the family's 1533-position model. The record is from RNAcentral.
GACGAACGCUGGCGGCGUGCCUAAUACACGCAAGUCGAGCGGACUUUCAAGAAGCUUGCUUUUUGAAAGUUAGCGGCGGGCGGGUGAGUAACACGUGGGCAACCUGCCUGUAAGACGGGGAUAACUCCGGGAACCGGGGCUAAUACCGGAUAAUAUCUUUCUUCGCAUGAAGGAAGGUUGAAAGGCGGCGCAAGCUGCCGCUUGCAGAUGGGCCCGCGGCGCAUUAGCUAGUUGGUGAGGUAACGGCUCACCAAGGCGACGAUGCGUAGCCGACCUGAGAGGGUGAGCGGCCACACUGGGACGGAGACACGGCCCAGACUCCUACGGGAGGCAGCAGUAGGGAAUCUUCCGCAAUGGACGAAAGUCUGACGGAGCAACGCCGCGUGAGCGAAGAAGGUCUUCGGAUCGUAAAGCUCUGUUGUCAGGGAAGAACAAGUACCGUUCGAAUAGGGCGGUACCUUGACGGUACCUGACCAGAAAGCCACGGCUAACUACGUGCCAGCAGCCGCCGUAA